This 568-nucleotide ribosomal RNA is filed under the name Bacillus cereus. Its description in RNAcentral is "bacterial SSU rRNA". It matches the Rfam family "Bacterial small subunit ribosomal RNA", at positions 357 to 918 of the family's 1533-position model. Lineage: Bacteria; Bacillati; Bacillota; Bacilli; Caryophanales; Bacillaceae. The record is from RNAcentral.
GUGAAUUUAACGGUAGCACGUCUGACGUGAGCAACGCCGCGUGAGUGAUGAAGGCUUUCGGGUCGUAAAACUCUGUUGUUAGGGAAGAACAAGUGCUAGUUGAAUAAGCUGGCACCUUGACGGUACCUAACCAGAAAGCCACGGCUAACUACGUGCCAGCAGCCGCGGUAAUACGUAGGUGGCAAGCGUUAUCCGGAAUUAUUGGGCGUAAAGCGCGCGCAGGUGGUUUCUUAAGUCUGAUGUGAAAGCCCACGGCUCAACCGUGGAGGGUCAUUGGAAACUGGGAGACUUGAGUGCAGAAGAGGAAAGUGGAAUUCCAUGUGUAGCGGUGAAAUGCGUAGAGAUAUGGAGGAACACCAGUGGCGAAGGCGACUUUCUGGUCUGUAACUGACACUGAGGCGCGAAAGCGUGGGGAGCAAACAGGAUUAGAUACCCUGGUAGUCCACGCCGUAAACGAUGAGUGCUAAGUGUUAGAGGGUUUCCGCCCUUUAGUGCUGAAGUUAACGCAUUAAGCACUCCGCCUGGGGAGUACGGCCGCAAGGCUGAAACUCAAAGGAAAUUGACGGGG